Molecule: long non-coding RNA, 354 nt
Filed under: Mytilus galloprovincialis (Mediterranean mussel)
Lineage: Eukaryota; Metazoa; Mollusca; Bivalvia; Mytilida; Mytilidae
Source: RNAcentral
AAUGUUUGCUCAAGCAUGGUAAUUAAGAUAGGCGGGGCUUCAGCUUGUAUACAUCAUACUUAAAUUUUAUUGGACGUUAUCUUGGAGGUUAAGGACACUAAAUUUUAAAACAUCACAUGAUACUUAUUCUCACAUGUUUCCUUACCUGUAAAUAUACAAUACAGACAGGAUUCUACUUCGUCUAAAUUAUCUUCCUAUUACACCAGUUCAUUUUCACAAUCGUAGAAACGGAAGACAAAUUUUUUUUCAGAGAUCCAACUUAAAGACUGUCGUCAAGCAUUUUUAGUAAAAUAGCUAUUCGAACACACCUACUCUGAUUUUGUGAUCCAUUGGAUAGGUAUUUCACUUGACCCC